UUGGAUUCGAUUGGCUAUUUGAUGUUUGGUAAGCAUGCUGUGGUUGUGCACAUAAAAACACCCUAGGUUUAUUAAAUUAAACGCAAAUAAUCAAAAUUUAGCAUUCGCUGCUUAAUAGCGGAUACACAAUAAGAAGCCGACCCUCAGGGCAUCUUGGCGUGUUUCAGAUACUGCGGGUUGUAUGUUAGGAAUGCUUUGAUCUAGCAUAUGAAAUAUAAAAGCUAGUCGGUUAUAUCUUGUUUGUUACAUAUAAUCGUAUGAACUAAAGAAAACAAAAUAAGCAUGUAGAAAUCUGGAUGGAUUGUAGUUAAGACGCGGGUUCGAGUCCCGCCUAGUCCACCA
Molecule: transfer-messenger RNA, 342 nt
Filed under: pig gut metagenome
Rfam family: transfer-messenger RNA
About the family: Bacterial tmRNA, also known as 10Sa RNA or SsrA, is named for its dual tRNA and mRNA-like properties. Its role is to liberate the mRNA from a stalled ribosome. To accomplish this part of the tmRNA is used as a reading frame that ends in a translation stop signal.
Source: RNAcentral